RNAcentral lists this ribosomal RNA (504 nucleotides) under Corynebacterium freiburgense. Its description in RNAcentral is "bacterial SSU rRNA". It matches the Rfam family "Bacterial small subunit ribosomal RNA", at positions 98 to 615 of the family's 1533-position model. Lineage: Bacteria; Bacillati; Actinomycetota; Actinomycetes; Mycobacteriales; Corynebacteriaceae. The record is from RNAcentral.
GCGAACGGGUGAGUAACACGUGGGUGAUCUGCCUCGUACUCUGGGAUAAGCCUGGGAAACUGGGUCUAAUACUGGAUAGGACCAUGCUUUAGUGUGUCAUGGUGGAAAGUUGUUUCGGUACGGGAUGAGCCUGCGGCCUAUCAGCUUGUUGGUGGGGUAAUGGCCUACCAAGGCGUCGACGGGUAGCCGGCCUGAGAGGGUGUACGGCCACAUUGGGACUGAGAUACGGCCCAGACUCCUACGGGAGGCAGCAGUGGGGAAUAUUGCACAAUGGGCGCAAGCCUGAUGCAGCGACGCCGCGUGGGGGAUGAAGGCCUUCGGGUUGUAAACCUCUUUCGGCAGGGACGAAGCGUGUUUGUGACGGUACCUGUAGAAGAAGCACCGGCUAACUACGUGCCAGCAGCCGCGGUAAUACGUAGGGUGCGAGCGUUGUCCGGAAUUACUGGGCGUAAAGAGCUCGUAGGUGGUUUGUCGCGUCGUCUGUGAAAUUCCGGGGCUUAACUC